CAAACAUUGUAAAAUUAAAAAGCAAAAACAAACAACAAUAACAUGGAGAACUAAAACAUACAAGGUAUGGAAAAAAUGUAUUUGUUAUUCCUAUGAGAAAUUCAAAGACACAACUUCAUUUCCGAACGUUAACCCUCUUGGUGCCGGGGGAACAUAUAUAUAUAUAUGUCCAUGUUUUAAUUUUCGCAAGCUUCUCAUCAUUGCUGCCCAAGGUUAAACAGAGUAACAUCUUUCUUCAAUGGGUUUCACAUAU
Molecule: long non-coding RNA, 253 nt
Filed under: Mytilus galloprovincialis (Mediterranean mussel)
Lineage: Eukaryota; Metazoa; Mollusca; Bivalvia; Mytilida; Mytilidae
Source: RNAcentral